This 496-nucleotide ribosomal RNA is filed under the name uncultured bacterium. RNAcentral describes it as "partial 16S ribosomal RNA". It matches the Rfam family "Bacterial small subunit ribosomal RNA", at positions 29 to 507 of the family's 1533-position model. The record is from RNAcentral.
AUGAACGCUGGCGGCGUGCCUAAUACCUGCAAGUCGAGCGAACAGACGAGGAGCUUGCUCCUCUGACGUUAGCAGCGGACGGGUGAGUAACACGUGGAUAACCUACCUAUAAGACUGGGAUAACUUCGGGAAACCGGAGCUAAUACCGGAUAAUAUAUUGAACCGCAUGGUUCAAUAGUGAAAGACGGUUUUGCUGUCACUUAUAGAUGGAUCCGCGCCGCAUUAGCUAGUUGGUAAGGUAACGGCUUACCAAGGCAACGAUGCGUAGCCGACCUGAGAGGGUGAUCGGCCACACUGGAACUGAGACACGGUCCAGACUCCUACGGGAGGCAGCAGUAGGGAAUCUUCCGCAAUGGGCGAAAGCCUGACGGAGCAACGCCGCGUGAGUGAUGAAGGUCUUCGGAUCGUAAAACUCUGUUAUUAGGGAAGAACAAAUGUGUAAGUAACUAUGCACGUCUUGACGGUACCUAAUCAGAAAGCCACGGCUAACUACGUG